GGGUAGUUAAGUCAGAAGUGAAAUCCAAUAGCUCAACUAUUGAACUGCCUUUGAAACUGAUUACCUAGAAUAUGGGAGAGGUAGAUGGAAUUUCUGGUGUAGGGGUAAAAUCCGUAGAGAUCAGAAGGAAUACCGAUUGCGAAGGCGAUCUACUGGAACAUUAUUGACGCUGAGACGCGAAAGCGUGGGGAGCAAACAGGAUUAGAUACCCUGGUAGUCCACGCCCUAAACGAUGUACACUAGUUGUUGUGAGGCUCGACCUUGCAGUAAUGCAGUUAACACAUUAAGUGUACCGCCUGGGAAGUACGGUCGCAAGAUUAAAACUCAAAGGAAUAGACGGGGACCCGCACAAGCGGUGGAGCAUGUGGUUUAAUUCGACGAUACACGAAGAACCUUACCUGGACUUGACAUAGUAAGAACUUUCUAGAGAUAGAUUGGUGUCUGCUUGCAGAAACUUAUAUACAGGUGCUGCACGGCUGUCGUCAGCUCGUGUCGUGAGAUGUUGGGUUAAGUCCCGCAACGAGCGCAACCCUCGUCAUUAGUUGCUAACAGUUCGGCUGAGAACUCUAAUGAGACUGCCUACGCAAGUAGGAGGAAGGUGAGGACGACGUCAAGUCAUCAUGGCCCUUACGUCCAGGGCCACACACGUGCUACAAUGGGGUAUACAAAGAGCCGCAAUACGGUGACGUGGAGCAAAUCUCAAAAAUAUCUCCCAGUUCGGAUUGUAGUCUGCAACUCGACUACAUGAAGUUGGAAU
RNAcentral lists this ribosomal RNA (757 nucleotides) under uncultured Arcobacter sp. RNAcentral describes it as "bacterial SSU rRNA". It matches the Rfam family "Bacterial small subunit ribosomal RNA", at positions 577 to 1332 of the family's 1533-position model. Lineage: Bacteria; Pseudomonadati; Campylobacterota; Epsilonproteobacteria; Campylobacterales; Arcobacteraceae. The record is from RNAcentral.